Lytechinus pictus (painted urchin) is the source of this 1144-nucleotide long non-coding RNA. RefSeq lists it as uncharacterized. Lineage: Eukaryota; Metazoa; Echinodermata; Echinoidea; Temnopleuroida; Toxopneustidae. The transcript has 3 exons. The record is from RefSeq and is a predicted model, not a curated record.
GUUGCAAUUGAUUGCAAAUCGACUGCAACUUUGCAGCCGAUCCCGAUCGACUGCAACUAGCAAUCAAUCGCCAAUUUGCGUUGCAAGAAAAAGGCUUGCGAUUGAACGCAAGUUGCAGCUGAUUUGCAGACGAUUUGCAGCUGUAAACAGGGUCUGCAGCACAAGACUAGCUGAUGAAGCAAAAUAAUCCUUGCAAUAAUCGUGAUUGUGGAAGAGAUUAUGACAAGGAAGUCUGGAAUAAACCGAACCACCAUAACUGUGUCUGCUACCAUGUGUGUUCUUGCAACCAGCUGAUUGAUUCAUUUUAUCAACUCUUGAAUGGUUGAUUAUCAGAACUGAAUUCAGAGCUGCUCCUGUCUGUAGUAAGAUCAUUUAGAGUGGACUUCAGAAUGAGGGCGUUGCUUGUUUAAAAUCUUCACUCCAUGAAGCUCUCCAAAUUCAUCUCAAAUUAGACUGCUUCUGGAAACCAGAUUUGUUCCUUCAAGCAGAGACGCUUGUGGCUUUCCUGACUGGACUUCUAUGGAUUCUUCAUGCCAACCUUAAGGACUGUGGUCUUCUGCAUGAUACGUCAAUUUCAAACAAGACAUUCUGUGGUGAAACACUUGGAUGUAGAUGAUAUGAAAUUUUAUUUCAUAUAACUGAAUCUCAGAAGUAAUUCCUCGGGAGCAAGAAACAUUGAAAAAUAAAAAUAAAAGGUCCAUCAAUAAUGAAUGUCUUGAGCAGUGUUCUUUUUUGUGCACAGAUCAAUGGAUCUUUUCAAGUCCAAGCAGGGAUGUAGUCAAUGCUGACCUCGGGGCAACAUUUUGCUGGCCUUGGUCCGAGUCACUGUACAGAAUCUAUGGGAAGUUCUCUCAAGCUGCCUCAUGACUCGGAAGAAUCAGCCUCGACCUCAUCCCUGUAUGCAAGUGUGAUAUAUAUCUACGAUGCAAUCUUAUGAUUAAAGAGAGCUUCAGAUUUUGAAGUGUAGCAAUCUCCUGAAAUGUAUGUUUUAUUUGAAAAUCAAACUAAAAUAACUUAAUUGGGCAUGUUAUUCAUUAUGAUAUGUAUGAAUGAAAGCAUUUAAGCAAUUUAGUGCUCUUGCAAAAUAAAUUCUGAGUUGUAUUUACUGCAAACCCUCAGAUAUAUUUAUAAGCAUUUGCCAGUG